RNAcentral lists this ribosomal RNA (640 nucleotides) under Enterobacter sp. DJM4F3. Its description in RNAcentral is "bacterial SSU rRNA". It matches the Rfam family "Bacterial small subunit ribosomal RNA", at positions 844 to 1484 of the family's 1533-position model. The record is from RNAcentral. Lineage: Bacteria; Pseudomonadati; Pseudomonadota; Gammaproteobacteria; Enterobacterales; Enterobacteriaceae.
UUCCGGAGCUAACGCGUUAAGUCGACCGCCUGGGGAGUACGGCCGCAAGGUUAAAACUCAAAUGAAUUGACGGGGGCCCGCACAAGCCNUGGAGCAUGUGGUUUAAUUCGAUGCAACGCGAAGAACCUUACCUACUCUUGACAUCCAGAGAACUUAGCAGAGAUGCUUUGGUGCCUUCGGGAACUCUGAGACAGGUGCUGCAUGGCUGUCGUCAGCUCGUGUUGUGAAAUGUUGGGUUAAGUCCCGCAACGAGCGCAACCCUUAUCCUUUGUUGCCAGCGGUNNGGCCGGGAACUCAAAGGAGACUGCCAGUGAUAAACUGGAGGAAGGUGGGGAUGACGUCAAGUCAUCAUGGCCCUUACGAGUAGGGCUACACACGUGCUACAAUGGCGCAUACAAAGAGAAGCGACCUCGCGAGAGCAAGCGGACCUCAUAAAGUGCGUCGUAGUCCGGAUUGGAGUCUGCAACUCGACUCCAUGAAGUCGGAAUCGCUAGUAAUCGUAGAUCAGAAUGCUACGGUGAAUACGUUCCCGGGCCUUGUACACACCGCCCGUCACACCAUGGGAGUGGGUUGCAAAAGAAGUAGGUAGCUUAACCUUCGGGAGGGCGCUUACCACUUUGUGAUUCAUGACUGGGGUGAA